Molecule: ribosomal RNA, 194 nt
Filed under: uncultured bacterium
Lineage: Bacteria
Description: partial 16S ribosomal RNA
Rfam family: Bacterial small subunit ribosomal RNA
Source: RNAcentral
CCUACGGGAGGCAGCAGUGGGGAAUUUUAGACAAUGGGCGCAAGCCUGAUCCAGCCAUGCCGCGUGAGUGAAGAAGGCCUUCGGGUUGUAAAGCUCUUUCAGUCGGGAAGAAACGGCGCGCUCUAACAUAGCGUGUCAAUGACGGUACCGACACAAGAAGCACCGGCUAACUACGUGCCAGCAGCCGCGGUAAU